AUACGUAGGGGGCGAGCGUUGUCCGGAAUGAUUGGGCGUAAAGGGCGCGUAGGCGGCCCGGUAAGUCUGGAGUGAAGGUCCUGUUUUUAAGAUGGGAAUUGCUUUGGAUACUGUCGGGCUUGAGUGCAGGAGAGGUAAGUGGAAUUCCCAGUGUAGCGGUGAAAUGCGUAGAGAUUGGGAGGAACACCAGUGGCGAAGGCGACUUACUGGACUGUAACUGACGCUGAGGCGCGAAAGUGUGGGGAGCAAACAGGAUUAGAUACCCUGGUAGUCCACACUGUAAACGAUGAAUGCUAGGUGUAGGGGGUAUCGACCCCUUCUGUGCCGCAGUCAACACAAUAAGCAUUCCGCCUGGGGAGUACGGCCGCAAGGCUAAAACUCAAAUGAAUUGACGGGG
RNAcentral lists this ribosomal RNA (397 nucleotides) under uncultured bacterium. Its description in RNAcentral is "partial 16S ribosomal RNA". It matches the Rfam family "Bacterial small subunit ribosomal RNA", at positions 523 to 918 of the family's 1533-position model. The record is from RNAcentral.